This is a long non-coding RNA of Carya illinoinensis, 894 nucleotides long. RefSeq lists it as uncharacterized. The record is from RefSeq and is a predicted model, not a curated record. Lineage: Eukaryota; Viridiplantae; Streptophyta; Magnoliopsida; Fagales; Juglandaceae. The transcript has 2 exons.
CCUUAACUUAUUUUACACCCCUUUCUUUCUCUCCCGCUUAGAAGCUCUCUGUUUUUUUUUUUUUUUGCAAACAACAUCAGAUCUAUAUGUGUUCAUUUAGAUCUUUUAGUUUUCAUUUUAUUUUUUAGAUCCUAGAGCUUCUUAUGUUAAACAUGGGUUUGCAUGUUUUGAGUUUUGUCUUCGGGUUUUUUUUUUUCACAUUUUUUGUUCGAACGACUGGAUGUUUUUUGGUUCUCAUUUCAUUUUUUUUAAAAUAGAUGAUUUUUUUUGGUCGUUUGAUGGUUUUUUUUUUUUUUUUUUUCCGUGAAGCCCUUCGUUAACUUUAACUGAUAUUUUUUUAAAAUCCAUGUUUUUUUUUUUUUCUGUAUAGAUCAGUUUCCAUGUUUUUAUUCUCUAUUUUUACUAACAUCCAUCAGAAAGUUAUGAUCUUUUUGUUUGUAAAUUGGAUUCUCUUACGGGGUUUCAGAUCUAUGAUUCAAUGGUCUUUUUACCUGAAAUUUUUCCUCUCUUCAGUGGUGUAGUACGUUUAAAUGUGUUAAUAGAUUUGUGAUUUUGUUUGUUUGUUUGUGUUUGGAUUUGUGUAGGUGAGGAUUCAAUUGGGUUAGGGAUCAGCAGCCCAAGGGCGAGGACCAUGCUUGAGGAGGAGGGCUUUGGUGCCUUUUACAAGCUUCCAUUCCAAAGCAAUAGCUGGCACACGUACAGAAGGGGAAAACUCGUGUGCAGAAGGGGAAAAAUAAGAAGAAAUGAGACUCUAGUUUUUCAAAAUUGUAACUUAUUAUAAUGUUUUGUCAUUAUAAUUCAUAGGAAAAGACAAUAGUAUUCCUGCCUAAUUAAUUUGGCACUAUUUUUCUUCAAAAAAUUCAGUUAUUAUAUUAAUGGAAUUUAAACAGACAA